This 1502-nucleotide ribosomal RNA is filed under the name uncultured bacterium. RNAcentral's name for it is "partial 16S ribosomal RNA". It matches the Rfam family "Bacterial small subunit ribosomal RNA". The record is from RNAcentral.
AGAGUUUGAUCCUGGCUCAGAUUGAACGCUGGCGGUAUGCUUAACACAUGCAAGUCGAACGGAAACGAAACUAGCUUGCUAGUAGGCGUCGAGUGGCGGACGGGUGAGUAACGCGUAGGAAUCUGCCUGAUAGUGGGGGAUAGCCCGAAGAAAUUCGGAUUAAUACCGCAUAAUCUAUUCGUAGUAAAGUGGGGGACUUUCGAGCCUCACGCUAUCAGAUGAGCCUGCGUAAGAUUAGCUUGUUGGUAGGGUAAAAGCCUACCAAGGCAACGAUCUUUAGCUGGUCUGAGAGGAUGAUCAGCCACAUCGGGACUGAGACACGGCCCGAACUCCUACGGGAGGCAGCAGUGGGGAAUAUUGGACAAUGGGGGCAACCCUGAUCCAGCAAUACCGCGUGUGUGAAGAAGGCCUGAGGGUUGUAAAGCACUUUCAAUUGUGAAGAAAAGUUAACGGUUAAUAACCGUUGACCUUGACGUUAACUUUAGAAGAAGCACCGGCUAACUCCGUGCCAGCAGCCGCGGUAAUACGGAGGGUGCAAGCGUUAAUCGGAAUUACUGGGCGUAAAGCGUGCGUAGGCGGUUUAUUAAGUCAGAUGUGAAAGCCCCGGGCUUAACCUGGGAACUGCAUUUGAAACUGGUCAACUAGAGUAUGGUAGAGGAAAGUGGAAUUUCUGGUGUAGCGGUGAAAUGCGUAGAUAUCAGAAGGAACAUCAAUGGCGAAGGCAGCUUUCUGGACCAAUACUGACGCUGAGGUACGAAAGCGUGGGUAGCAAACAGGAUUAGAUACCCUGGUAGUCCACGCCGUAAACGAUGAUAACUAGCCGUUGGGGGGAUUUACCCCUUAGUGGCGAAGCUAACGCGUUAAGUUAUCCGCCUGGGGAGUACGGCCGCAAGGCUAAAACUCAAAGGAAUUGACGGGGACCCGCACAAGCGGUGGAGCAUGUGGUUUAAUUCGAUGCAACGCGAAGAACCUUACCUGGUCUUGACAUCCUCGGACCGCUUCAGAGAUGAAGUUUCCUCUUCGGAGGCCGAGUGACAGGUGCUGCAUGGCUGUCGUCAGCUCGUGUCGUGAGAUGUUGGGUUAAGUCCCGCAACGAGCGCAACCCCUACCCUUAAUUGCCAUCGGGUUAUGCCGGGCACUUUAGGGGGACUGCCGGUGACAAGCCGGAGGAGGGUGGGGAUGACGUCAAGUCCUCAUGGCCUUUAUGACCAGGGCUACACACGUGUUACAAUGGGAGUUACAGAGGGAAGCUAAGCCGCGAGGCCAUGCCAAUCCCAGAAAAACUUUCUCAGUUCGGAUCGCAGUCUGCAACUCGACUGCGUGAAGCUGGAAUCGCUAGUAAUCGCGGAUCAGCACGCCGCGGUGAAUACGUUCCCGGGCCUUGUACACACCGCCCGUCACACCAUGGGAGCCGACAAGGGCAGAAGUCGCCGAGCUAACCUUCGGGAAGCAGGCGCCCAAGCUGUUGUUGACGACUGGGGUGAAGUCGUAACAAGGUAACC